RNAcentral lists this unclassified non-coding RNA (2332 nucleotides) under Ixodes scapularis (black-legged tick). RNAcentral's name for it is "zinc finger protein OZF, transcript variant X3". The record is from RNAcentral. Lineage: Eukaryota; Metazoa; Arthropoda; Arachnida; Ixodida; Ixodidae.
GUCACCGAGGACAUCUGGUUCGAAUGCUGUUCCUGCACCUAUGCCACCAGAGAUCAGCAUGGAAUUGUGAGGCACCUUGCUGCCCAUGGGCUUCUACUAGGCUGCGGCCGAAAGCAGAGGUUGAUUUCAAUGUCUCUUUAUGGCACCUAAGCCACGCCCCCAAAAAUCCCCUAGAGUCAACUGCUCUAACUGAAGAAACUUUGUUGUAUCUCGGGGGCUGCGGCCAAGCGGUGCUUUGAAAUCGCCGCCGCCACUACUGCGCCGCUGGGGUCAAUCCAAGAAACAAAGUAAAACUGAAGCUCUCCAGAUGCCUAAGUAGAGGUGAGAACUGAGCGAGCUCGCUGACCACGCCUUCUCUUUGUGUUUGUGCUUAUGAUGAUGAUGCAUUUUUAUUACGUACGCAAUAAAAACAAAACGUAAAAAUAUCCGACAGUAAGGAUUAGUCUUGGCAGUAUAAGAAAGAAAUACGCCCGCUACUUUGCCCAUUAAGAUCAAUUAUUGACAAAAUUGGCCCUGAACCACUUUCGUUGAACCGGUAACCGCCACAUCAGGUUAUGGUUUCGUUCCAGUUCGGGUCCAAUAUGAAGCAAUCGAUUUCGGUUUCGGUCUUGUACCGGUUUGGUCAAAACGGUUUUGAUCCGGUUUCGGGUUCGGUUCGACACCCUGUUUUUAAGGCUCUAGUGAGAGCUUAUGACUUUCUGCAUUGUUGUGCAGCCGGUCGUGAGCAGUCACAAGACGCUUAAAAGCCGGUCUUGUCUCAGUCGUAGUCAAACGCAAGUGUGUGAACGGGCCUUAAGGAAGGACACUACCUAAAAGGGUCAGCUUUUGAACCUUUGGCUUAGUAUGAAUGAAAAUCACAGUAUAUACUGGUAGUGGCGAGACAAAAUGCACUGCAAAGUUUCAUCUGUGUACAUGAAAUGUGAAGGAAAUUAUUGUUGUUUUUAUUAGAAAUGCGCUGACGUUGUUUAGGAAAAGUAUUGUUAGGAAACUAAUGUAAUACCCAACAUUUUCCUUCGCUAGAUACAAAGCAGAAUGCCCGGAGAGUGCAACUGUGAAAAAAUUCCUGGAAAGUAAUUUAUUUUAUGCUUACAUCACACUUAAAAAUCAAAUAAAUUUUUUGUGUUAUGUCGUCGACGAAACCUUAACAUUUUUUUAUAAAAGAGAUUCAUAAAGUAAAAAAAGAUAAUGCCACAGUUGCAGUGCCCAUUAAGUUCCAGUUAUGAAAAACGAGUAAGCCUUUCCUUUUGUCUAAUUACCUAACGAUAGCUUUUCUAAUCUGAAAUUUAUGCCAAAAAUGGAACAAAGAAAAAAAGCGCUCAAAGUGCUUGAAUCUCUACUUUUUCUUUAGCAUUGGUGCACCGAAAAUAAUUUUUAAAUAAUAACUAUGCAGUGCAAACAAAUAAAACAUUCUGGGAAUUUUCUCGAGGUGUUGGUGGAUUUAAACAUGGCUUUUUUCAAAAUCUACUUUUUUUUCAAAAGUUUCUUUUUCUGGGUAGUGUCCCCCAUUAAGUGGUAUGAGGUAAAUUUUUCCAAGAUUUUUCUUUUUAUGUCCUGUACCAUGCCAAGACCUUAUUCUAGCAGUUUCCUCAGUGGGGGUGUGUGUGGUUUCACCAUAACACUUCCCUUUAGUGGUUCGGACAUUGCUAUUUGAAUAUUCCUUGCACAGUCCAGCAGGUUUUGCUAUAAAUUGGCACUGUACCCAUUUUGAAUACUGUGCAAUGUCCCUUUGGGACUGCGUUGGUGAAAGGUGUGGAAAAUUUGGAAAUGACUAUCAUGUUUAUACUCCAAGUUUUUUCGCCUUUCUUCUUUGUACUGGCAUUUUCGCAAUCAUGUAUUUAUAUGACACCUGCUUUGAGAUGUAACUUUCCGUUCCGUUAGGUGUUCCCAAUACUCUCUUGUUCCGUCUUCAUGUUCCUGGCAGUUGUCUCCGUGUUGCCUGGCUGUCUGCAUCAGAAUUUUCAGACCUUAGGUGUCCUUGUAUGCUGGAAAAUUCCUUUUGCUUGUUUUUGCGUAACACAGGUUAGUAGUUUGUUUCUCUGCUUCACUGAUGGCUAACAUUCUUAUAUUUUUUAUUAGAAUGAGGAGGGUUGGUGAAGCUAAGUUUCAAUGAAUACUAACUCAGCCAUGUAUUUUCUUUGGUUACAGGGUCCUUUGAAUUGUUCCUGAAGGCAUGUUUAUUUUUUUAUUGUGCAAUUAAUUUCAAAGCCUAUCUUUAUUGAAAUGUUUUUUCUUUUUAGUUUUAUGUUGUUUUGCUCGAACAAAAUCUGUGGAUAAUAAAUAUGUAAUCAGACUUUUGUUUCACUGUUUCUCAGAAAUAAAGGUCUAUAGUAAA